Molecule: ribosomal RNA, 477 nt
Filed under: uncultured bacterium
Lineage: Bacteria
Description: partial 16S ribosomal RNA
Rfam family: Bacterial small subunit ribosomal RNA
Source: RNAcentral
AAUAAACGCUGGCGGCGUGCCUAACACAUGCAAGUCGAGCGAGAAAGCUCCUUCGGGAGUGAGUACAGCGGCGAACGGGUGAGCAACGCGUGGGAAUCUACCCUUCAGUGAAGAAUACCCUCGAGAAAUCGAGGUUAAUACUGCAUACGUCCUGUAAAGGAGAAAGAUGGCCUCUUUGCUGUCGUUGAAGGAUGAGCCUGCGUACUAUUAGCUAGUUGGUAGGGUAACGGCUCACCAAGGCGACGACGGGUAGCCGGCCUGAGAGGGUGACCGGCCACACUGGGACUGAGACACGGCCCAGACUCCUACGGGAGGCAGCAGUGGGGAAUAUCGCACAAUGGGCGCAAGCCUGAUGCAGCAACGCCGCGUGAGGGAUGACGGCCUUCGGGUUGUAAACCUCUUUUAGUAGGGAAGAAGCGAAAGUGACGGUACCUGCAGAAAAAGCACCGGCUAACUACGUGCCAGCCGCCGCAGUAA